GAGAUCAUGCCAGCACUAAUGCAUCGGAUCUCAGCAGAACUCCGCUGUUAAGCGUGCUUGGGCGAGAGUAGUACUAGGAUGGGUGACCCCUUGGGAAGUCCUCGUGUUGCACCCA
RNAcentral lists this ribosomal RNA (115 nucleotides) under Rhododendron simsii. Lineage: Eukaryota; Viridiplantae; Streptophyta; Magnoliopsida; Ericales; Ericaceae. The record is from RNAcentral.